RNAcentral lists this transfer RNA (73 nucleotides) under Armatimonadota bacterium. Its description in RNAcentral is "Armatimonadetes bacterium (rhizosphere metagenome) tRNA-Lys". It matches the Rfam family "tRNA". From Rfam's summary of the family: Transfer RNA (tRNA) molecules are approximately 80 nucleotides in length. Their secondary structure includes four short double-helical elements and three loops (D, anti-codon, and T loops). The record is from RNAcentral. Lineage: Bacteria; Bacillati; Armatimonadota.
GGGGCUGUAGCUUAACGGGUAAAGCGGCGGUCUUUUAAAUCGCAAACUCAGGGUUCGAGUCCCUGCGGCCUCA